UCGGCUUAGAGUUUGAUCCUGGCUCAGGAUGAACGCUGGCGGCGUGCCUAAUACAUGCAAGUCGAACGGGAGGUGCUUGCACCUUCGAGUGGCGAACGGGUGAGUAACACGUGGAUAACCUGCCUCAAGGCUGGGGAUAACAUUUGGAGACAGAUGCUAAUACCGAAUAAAACUUAAUCGCAUGAUUCAAGUAAAAGGCGUACGCGUCACCUAGAGAUGGAUCCGCGGUGCAUUAGUUAGUUGGUGGGGUAAAGGCUUACCAAGACAAUGAUGCAUAGCCGAGUUGAGAGACUGAUCGGCCACAUUGGGACUGAGACACGGCCCAAACUCCUACGGGAGGCUGCAGUAGGGAAUCUUCCACAAUGGGCGCAAGCCUGAUGGAGCAACGCCGCGUGUGUGAUGAAGGCUUUCGGGUCGUAAAGCACUGUUGUAUGGGAAGAAAUGCUAAAAUGAAUAUUUUAGUUUGACGGUACCAUACCAGAAAAGGACGCUAAAUACGUGCCAGCAGCCGCGUAAUACGUAUGUCCCGAG
This 531-nucleotide ribosomal RNA is filed under the name uncultured Leuconostoc sp. RNAcentral's name for it is "bacterial SSU rRNA". It matches the Rfam family "Bacterial small subunit ribosomal RNA", at positions 1 to 538 of the family's 1533-position model. The record is from RNAcentral. Lineage: Bacteria; Bacillati; Bacillota; Bacilli; Lactobacillales; Lactobacillaceae.